AGUACAGUUCCUGGGUCAUAUGGUAAGGCAUGAUCAGUUUUAUAAGAAACUGCCCAAGUAUUUUCCAGAGUAGCUGCACCAUUUUACUUUUUCACCAGCAAA
RNAcentral lists this microRNA precursor (102 nucleotides) under Marmota monax (woodchuck). The record is from RNAcentral. Lineage: Eukaryota; Metazoa; Chordata; Mammalia; Rodentia; Sciuridae.